Molecule: ribosomal RNA, 476 nt
Filed under: uncultured bacterium
Lineage: Bacteria
Description: partial 16S ribosomal RNA
Rfam family: Bacterial small subunit ribosomal RNA
Source: RNAcentral
GAUGAACGCUGGCGGCAUGCCUAAUACAUGCAAGUCGAACGAAGCACUUGUGCUUAGUGGCGAACGGGUGAGUAAUACGUAAGCAACCUGCCCUACACACGGGGAUAACUACUGGAAACGGUAGCUAAUACCCGAUAGGUCAUAAAGUGGCAUCACUUAAUGAUUAAAGGUCCCUUCAAGGACCAGUUUGGGAUGGGCUUAUGGCGCAUUAACUAGUUGGUGAGGUACCGGCUCACCAAGGCGAUGAUGCGUAGCCGACCUGAGAGGGUGAUCGGCAACAUUGGGACUGAGACACGGCCCAAACUCCUACGGGAGGCAGCAGUGGGGAAUAUUGCACAAUGGGGGAAGCCCUGAUGCAGCGACGCCGCGUGAAGGAAGAAGUAUUUCGGUAUGUAAACCUCUAUCAGCAGGGAAGAAAAUGACGGUACCUGACUAAGAAGCCCCGGCUAAUUACGUGCCAGCCGCCGCAGUAAUAC